AUGAACGCUAGCGGCAGGCUUAAUACAUGCAAGUUGAGGGGCAGCAUGAUAUACGCGAGUAUAUUGAUGGCGACCGGCGGACGGGUGAGUAAUAGGUAGGAGACCUACCUCAUACAGGGGGGUAGCAUAGAGAAAUCUGUGGUAAUACCCCAUGAGGUUAUAUGAAUAGAGGCAUAUAAUCAAAGCAUAAGCGAUUAUGCGGUAUGAGAGGGGCCUACUGACCAUUAGCUAGUUGGUGAGGUAAGGGCUCACCAAGGCGAAGAUGGCUAGGGGUUUUGAGAGAGAGACCCCCCACAUUGGAACUGAGAGACGGUCCAGACUCCUACGGGAGGCAGCAGUAGGGAAUAUUGGGCAAUGGGCGAAAGCCUGACCCAGCCAUGCCGCGUGAAGGAAGACGGCCUUAUGGGUUGUAAACUUCUUUACUACGCGAAUAGAGGUUAGUACGAGAUACUAAUAGGAAGGUAGUGUAGUAAAAAGCACCGGCUAACUCCGUG
RNAcentral lists this ribosomal RNA (494 nucleotides) under uncultured bacterium. RNAcentral describes it as "bacterial SSU rRNA". It matches the Rfam family "Bacterial small subunit ribosomal RNA", at positions 30 to 507 of the family's 1533-position model. The record is from RNAcentral.